AGCUACACUGGAAAGCCACAGAGGAAAUCUGAGGUAGCAGCAACAUAGAGGAAGAGAUAAGUUUAAGGGCUGUCCAGACUGCUAUCCAUGCAGGGUGCCAACAGAUAGUGCCAGAUGAAAAACAGUUUCCAAGUCAGAGAAUAACUGUGAUCUGGUCUAAAAGCAACUCCAUCAUCCUCUGGUACAAAACAGCAACUGGCUUCCUGUGUGAUCAGCAAUGUGUUAUCUAGUUUGGGGGAGGGGACUUUCUCAUUCAUGAUGAGUCACUGGUUUGUUCGUGUGCUGAGGAGGUUCAGCCUUGGGGAUGUCUGAAGGGCUGGCUGGAGCUUCCUGUCCACUACCUGUUUGGAAUAUCUAUUGUUCUAAUAAAAGUGAUUUUAGCUUUUA
Molecule: long non-coding RNA, 387 nt
Organism: Pseudophryne corroboree (corroboree frog)
Lineage: Eukaryota; Metazoa; Chordata; Amphibia; Anura; Myobatrachidae
Exons: 3
Source: RefSeq, a predicted model, not a curated record